UACAUCUCACCUCGCGAUACUUACAGGAAGUCCAAGCACGUUGGUCAGGCGCCGGUUUCCGGUUACGUCGUGGGCGAUUGGCCUUGACGGAGAGGAGGGGCCUUGCUUGUUUCCUUUUUGUGAAGUUGAGUGGUCUCCCAGCUGAGAGAUGCAAUAAAAAUGUCAAGAAAUCCAUAGCUCGAUGGCCAUAAAGGGUAUACACAAGGAAGCUUGAAGCUUUCCAAGUUCUUAUUCAAACUAUUCUCCCUCUCAGAUUUACAUCUUAAGUCCAUUUCAUGCCUUGUAUAUAAAAAACUACCAAACCAAAUAAAGAUCUGGAAAUCUUUCCCCUCUC
Molecule: long non-coding RNA, 334 nt
Organism: Ictidomys tridecemlineatus (thirteen-lined ground squirrel)
Lineage: Eukaryota; Metazoa; Chordata; Mammalia; Rodentia; Sciuridae
Source: RefSeq, a predicted model, not a curated record